This 514-nucleotide small RNA is filed under the name Drosophila yakuba. RNAcentral describes it as "GE25089". The record is from RNAcentral. Lineage: Eukaryota; Metazoa; Arthropoda; Insecta; Diptera; Drosophilidae.
UGUUGAAGUUUAUAAUUAAGUUAUAUCCACACUUUGCAUACCAGAGACAAAGAAAAUCCAAUUUGCACUAAGCCCCGAUUUUAACUCGAAAUUUAUCGUUAGCAAAUUGCAAUGGCAAAUCGCAGAGCUCAUUUGGCCCGCCCCGUUGCUCUGCGGUUCUUGGUUCCCAUCAAAACCCCCAAGGCAUAGUAAGCAGAAUUUGCAGCAGGAACUGUAGCCCAUCCAAAGCCAAAGCCGAUCAGCUUGAGUGUUUUAUGGUCCCGAAGUGGCAGCUACAGCCCUAACAUACAACUAAGAAGCACAACAUCGGCUUAGGGCAACAGGAAGUAUUAGCACGAGCCAAGGAACAAAGCAAUCUAUAACGAUGGCCGGCGGGGGUAGGACAGCCGGCAAAUACGGAUAUUCGGACAACAAUUAUUACAGUGAUACUUGGGCUUCCAUUACUCCGCAUCUCAUGAAAUGUUUUUAUUAUCACCACAGAUGAUUUAUUUUAAUUUGCUAUUUUAUAUAUCGC